Apis dorsata (giant honeybee) is the source of this 1860-nucleotide long non-coding RNA. RefSeq lists it as uncharacterized. The transcript is spliced from 2 exons. The record is from RefSeq and is a predicted model, not a curated record. Lineage: Eukaryota; Metazoa; Arthropoda; Insecta; Hymenoptera; Apidae.
UCUGAAAAUGAGAAUAAUUUUUACGACUUUCAACGUUCAAACUCUUCUAUUACUGUGCAGUGUUGUAGUGUCAGAAUUGUCAACAAAGCGUCUGAAGUGGGGAUGGGCGGUCCUAGCGAAGCAUUAGAGAACCCCUCUUGCCCCGGUGCCCCUGUCCCGCGAGAUUUCUUUUCAGCGACGAACAGUAUUUCAUAAAAUAAAAUUUCAAAGAGUUUUCUUUAAUACGAUUCAGAUCCAGAAUCAGGGGGAAGAUUUUUACCUUGUCGUGUCUCGUUCUCGCAAAUAAAGGAAGGAGCUCUCAUCCUAGGUUCUAUUUUCUAUUUCACGCGUGAGAUCAUAGAAUGCCAGUGUCCGUCGAACAAUCGAACACGUUACUGACCACGGCAUACACCAGACAUGCUACUGUCUACAUAGAAGGUUGCUAUUUCCUGCUAUUAACCAGCAAACUCGAUCAGAAAGUCAAGCGAUGAUGUACGUCGCUCAUAUAAUAAGCCGAUACCAAGAGAGACUACUAACGAGCCAUCGUAGACGUAAAUCGUAAGGGGACGAAACCAGUUGCCAGGAGAAUUGCAUUUGCAUGCUGCGUAACGUGGUCGCGUAGAAAGUAAAAUGGUAAUCACCUUUGGUUAUUCUUAAUAGAGUAGACCUGACGCGAACGCACACAUGCUCCUCAUCGAAGAUUGUGUCAGUCAUUGACAAGUAUUACAUCGUUUUUGCGCGUAUUAAUAAACGUAUACAAUUUGCGUAAUAGAUUCUAUUGAAAAAGGAACGCUCAUUUGUUGACGAAGUAAUAUCAUAAUUUUUUUUAGAGAAACAUUAAGAUAAGAUAAGAUUUAUAUGAUAGAAAUUUUGUUUGUUGUAAUAUUUAUGUAAUAAAUUAUUUAGAAAUAGAACUUGGAAAUGAAGAAUUUUAAUAAAUGAUAAAGUUAUUAUUAGAUUAAAAUUUUGUUAUUAUUAGUUAUUAUAAACACAAAUUUAUGCAAGUUCGAUUAAAUAAGUAAUGGUAAACAUUAAAGAAAAAUGAUUAGGAUUUAUUAGGAUUGAAUUAAAAAGAAAUUGAUUUCUUUAUAAAUAAUAAUAUCAAGUCAAUAUACUUACGUAGAUAGUUACCAAAAUUCAUAAUCAUUUGAACCAUUGUUAUCCUAUUGAACAGAUCUUCCUGUUUUAAAUAUAACGUACGAGUUAAAUAAUUGAAAGGGGAGAUCUCCCCCUUUUUUUUGCCUUGUCCACAAUUGUAUUAUUAAUAUAUAUAUACGUAUAACGAGUAAAUUUAUUUUUAUAGUUUAAACUUAUAACUAAAAAUAAUAUUUAUAAAUACAUUAUUAAAAAUACAUUAUCUUUAUACAAUAUUUGAAUAUAUAUAAUAUAAACUUGAAAAGUUUAUAAAUACAUUUUUGUAGAAAUAUAAUUUAAUGAAAAUCUAUAUUUAUAUUGUAACUAAACCUAAAAUAUUACCAAUAUAAUUUACAAUAUUCAGGAUUUAAAAAAUACUCUUUAAUAUUUAAUUAUAUAAAUAUUAAAUAUAAAUAUCGUUUAAUUUAAAAAAAUCUUAUUUAUUUUUUUUAAAUUGUCUAGGCACAAUAGUAGGCACAGUCGUGGCUAAUAAUGUGAUGUAUAUUAUGUAAUAAAACUAUUGGAAUUUAAAAACUUAUUUUAAUCAGUAUACGUGUAGAUAAAUUUUAAUAGCUGAAGAUAAAAUGUUUGUUGAAAUCUACACGCUUUUAAUAUUUACAUAAUUUCACUUCACUUUUCUUAUUCCGUUUUCUUUUCUGUGAAUUCUUUGUUUUUCGAUUUCGAUGGGUAUAUUACGAAUAACGACAUUUGUGCCAAAGAUAAAACAAAAGCUACCGAAUUCUGAAA